ACGGAGGGUGCAAGCGUUGUCCGGAAUUACUGGGCGUAAAGCGUGCGCAGGCGGUUUCACAAGCUCGAUGUGAAAGCCCCGGGCUUAACCUGGGAAUGGCAUUGAGGACUGUGGAGCUUGAGUGCGGCAGAGGGAGGUGGAAUUCCACGUGUAGCAGUGAAAUGCGUAGAGAUGUGGAGGAACACCGAUGGCGAAGGCAGCCUCCUGGGCCGACACUGACGCUCAUGCACGAAAGCGUGGGGAGCAAACAGGA
RNAcentral lists this ribosomal RNA (253 nucleotides) under uncultured prokaryote. RNAcentral's name for it is "partial 16S ribosomal RNA". It matches the Rfam family "Bacterial small subunit ribosomal RNA", at positions 525 to 777 of the family's 1533-position model. The record is from RNAcentral.